This is an RNA transcript of Orcinus orca (killer whale), 15484 nucleotides long. It is a transcript of the gene named ADNP homeobox 2, with no coding region annotated. The record is from RefSeq and is a predicted model, not a curated record. Lineage: Eukaryota; Metazoa; Chordata; Mammalia; Artiodactyla; Delphinidae. The transcript is spliced from 8 exons.
GACUGGGCGGCGGCAGGGGAGGGCCGGGCGUGCGGAGGGCGGCGGGACGGGGAUCCGGGGAGCCGCCCGGAGCGAGUGCGGACGCGGGCCGAGCGGAUGCGAGCUCACCCGGCCUGCGCUGUGGCGGCUGUCUCAGGAGGAGAGAACAGCCGGUAGCAAAGCUCAGUUCCUUCACCCCUGAGCGUUUGGUGUGAAUAUUGACCACAUGCAGUUGUUGACAUGAACGUUUUAACUUUUCAUAUGUCGUCGCUUCCUGCGUUGACGUACAGUCUGGGUGCAGAAUUUCUCCUCUCACUUGGCUUUGGAACGUCCAAACCUGUAGCCACCAGUUCACCCUGUACACAGUUGCAAAAUGAUAAGUAGUUAAAUAUUUAAAGUAUUUUCUUUGAAUUUGAAUGGGAGGCUUACCUGAAUGCUCUUAAAACUCGUUCUGAUUGAAUGGAAUGGGUGAUGGCAGCCUCUUGAGACCUGAAGGACUCUUCUGUGUGGUGAUUUACAAUGCAGAUGGACAAGUGCCGGCAGACAGCGGCGGGUACCCAGGUCUCGCCAGAUAGGUGGGGCGGGGAGUCAAGGUUGUGGGGAGAGGACCGCGUGAAAAGUGCGGCUUCUGGGAAGUGCGUGUUCGUCUUUGGAAGUGAAGUAAUGCGUGCGUGACUUAUUUAGAGCUGAACGAACUUUGAUAUUCCGGUUGGAGAUGCAGCUGUGUUGAGCCAGUGGUCUUUAGGCGUGGAAGUGACAGACCUGUGUGCAGGAAGGGAACGGGUGCUGGCCUGGAGGGUGGGGCGGAGAUGCUCACCCGUCCGUCUGAGCAGUGGUGAGGACGUGAGAGCUGGAUUCAGGGUUAGGAAUUGAAGGUCGGUGACGGGAGGUGAAGGUGGAGUUGUUAAAAGAUUUUUAGCUGCAGAGAUCUGGGACACCUUUUUAACUUGAACCGAGGUUUGCGAUGUGCUUUUGGUGAAUUUGUGGUUGAAGUCCCUUUGAGGGGUCACGCCCCAGCUUUCUGCCGUGGCCGCCACUCUGGAUGUCACACACCUGUUAGGGCAGUGUUUAACAAGUGGGGAGACUGACUGAAAGAUGACGACUUGCUGAAGGCCACAAGUCUGAGAAGGGGUCUUCCUGUGUUUGAACCCAGACCUUUGAAUCUUGCUUUCAUGCAUUGUACAAAUACUGUGUGUGUUCUUUUUAAAAUUAAUUAAUUAAUUUAUGGCUGCGUUGGGUCUUCGUUGCUGCGCGCGGGCUUUCUCUAGUUGCGGCGAGCCGGGGCUUCUCUUCCUUGCGGUGCGUGGGCUUCUUCUUGCAGUGGCUUCUCUUGUUGUGGGUCACGGGCUCUAGGCAUGCGGGCUUCAGUAGUUGUGUCUCCCGGGCUUCAGUAGUUGUGGCGCACAGGCUUAGUUGCUCCGCGGCAUGUGGGAUCUUCCCGGACCAGGGCUCGAACCCGUGUCCCCUGCAUUGGCAGGCGGAUUCUUAUCCACUGCGCCACCAGGGAAAUCCCUGAAUAUUAUGUGUUUUCAAAGUUACUUAAAAACAAAAAAACAACAAACCUGUAUUCCAAUAGUUGGGACAUUUCAUGUAGAUUUUUUGGAGUUAGAUAAUGGCAACUCACAGUUCUAAGUGCUUUUCUUGUGUUAAACUGUUCUUUUCUCAAAAGUGCUUCUCAGAGUAGGUUGUGCAGAAGGAACUGAGGCCCCAGGAUUAAGUGACUUGUCGAAGAUCACACAGCUAGUCAGAUGUGGAGCUGAUUUGAGCUCAGGCAGUGCAGCUCCAGAAUCUUUUGCUCGUGAGAUGAUUGUGUGGGGUUGCUUCUGAAGUGAAAUCUUUUUAGAACUGAAAAGAAACUGAACUGAAAAGAACUGAACUGAACUGAAAAGAAAGUUCUGUGGUUUUAAAAAGUAUUAUAUUACCUGAAUGAUUUUCUUUUUUGCAGUGUAUUUUUUCAAUAAUGGAAUAUUCUUAAAUAAUCAUGAUACUAAAAAGCAACAAAAGAAACCCUUUAAGUGCCUCUUUGGGAAGUAAUAUUUUCUUGUGCACAUCAGCACAAUUUUUGGUAAUCCCGUGUCUACCACACACUGUGAAAUUAAAGGUAAUUUACUAUGAACAGAGGUGGAUAGAUUAGUGCAGCUGCAUUAGCCUGCUGUUUUCUAAUGGUGAAGAUACAGAUUUAACCGAGUACUAAGAAUAUAUAGAGAACAGCAUCAGUAAAGGAUCUAUAGAUAUGGAAGCACUGAACAACUUCUUUCCUAGUUAAUUAAUCCACUAGGUCCUCUUUAUGAAAUCUUGCAUCUCUUAGAAUGGAGAAAUAAUGGUAAAAGUCACCUUCUGUUCCCCAAAGUGAUUGGCAACAGUAGACCAAGGAUUUUGAAAGAAUUGUUUUAAGGUUAUGAAACUUCUGUGAUUUACCUACGUUUUAUUUUUUAUUAUCUUUACUUGGUUUCCCUAAAACAGCAAACUGCUGAAAAGGGGAAACUUUUUUUUUUAAUUAAGCAUGGAUCUGUGUACUUGUUUUGGAAGGGGGCGGGGAACCACAAUCGCGAUGAUGAGGGAAUGGGGCACUUACAGUUGAGAAUAAAAAGCUCUGAUUCUCCAAAUUGAAGAAGACAGACUUCCUUGGCCCUCCUCCCAAGCCUUGAACAAGUAACUGCCGAGCCUUUUAAAACUUGCCCAGUCACUGGAAGCCUCUUUUCAGUGCCUUCCUCCUGAGGGUCGGCCUGUCGGUAGCAGCCUUGGGAACCAUCCUGUGAAAAUUGGCCAAUCCCUAAACUGCUUCUGAGAGUGUACCAAUCCCUGUACUCCUUGCUUCUCAAAACUGUGAUAAGAUCAGCACUUGCUUUGUAAGGCCAGAUUUCUUUGCAAGCAAAAAAUUCAGCUUUUUUGUUUUGGAUAUAUGUGGAUGGUGGUCUUAACCUUGGACAAUUCUAUUUACCAGCUUUGGGGAAAGAAGAACCCCAAAGGAUAGAGAGGAUAGUGGGACUUUAAGGAGGAAAUAACGGCAAGUCUGAUAAAGUGAGUGGAAAGCAUAAAGAAGGAUUUUUGUUGAGGCAUGCUCUGGCCAAGGAAGCCAGUCUGGGCUUGAAAGUGACCUUGUGCUUAAUAUUUAGGAAUGCCACCACGAGGUUCUUGACAGCUCCUCUGUUAAAUUAUGCUUUUGAAGGCUAGAACCCAAUUCAGUGAAUUUUAUUGUUAAUAAUUGUAUUAUUAGUUUUUUUUUUUUUUUUUUUUUUGCUGUACGCGGGCCUCUCACUGCUGUGGCCUCUCCCGUUGCAGAGCACAGGCUCCGGACACGCAAGCUCAGCGGCCAUGGCUCACGGGCCCAGCCGCUCUGCGGCAUGUGGGAUCCUCCCGCACCGGGGCACGAACCCGUGUCCCCUGCAUCAGCAGGCGGACUCUCAACCACUGCGCCACCAGGGAAGCCCUAAUUUUAUUAUUUUUAACUUUACUUCCUCUGAUUUUUAUAUCUCCCAGUUCUAAAAUGCUAAAUGAUCCUUCAAGCUCACUUUCUACUGAGCCUGAGAUAUACUUUUCACAUAGAUAACUUGUCUGAAAAGCGUGUCUGUUCCAAAUCAGCUUCUCAAACACUUCAUGUUCCUUUAUUACCCACGAAAAGUUCCUCCCACUGUUAACCCUCCCUGCCCCGCUCAUCUCUCGUUUUAUUCCAGUCCACCUUUUUGGUUUUACUUACCUUUUGCCCAGUAUAUUCAGACUUUUACUACCUUACCUCAGUCAUUUUCUGAUGCUGAUCUAUUCACUUGGAAUGUCUUGGACUCCAAGUCACCAACCCUCCAUAGCCUUUCCAUUUUGAACCUCAGUGAUAGGCCCAGAUGUGCAAAGAAAACAUGAUUCCUGCCCUGAAGAAGUUCAGUCCAAUAGGGAAAAUAGGUGUAGAAGUAGAUAAUUACAACGUAGUGAGGUGAGUGCAAUGAAAUAAGUAUAAACUGGCCACUCUGGGAAUUCCUCGGAGGGGCACCAAGCUUAUCCUUGAGGGAGGAGGGGUUAUAAGAGGGUAUAGAAGUGGAAUUGUGGGCUUACAGAAAUUAUUUAAGAUCUUGGGAGGUACUGCCAGUUGUCCUGUAAACAUGCAGAAAGUACAGUUUUUCUACUUAUCCUCACUACCAGUGGACAUUAUCAAUCUUUAAGUUAGUGUUUUGAUAAUAAAAAAUUGGCAUUCAUUUUUUUACCUGGCAUUUCUUUAACUCGAGUUUAACUGAUUUUGUUUUAUAGCUUGCACAUUAAAACUUUUUUUGAAAUAGUUUCGGAUUUAUAGAAAGUUGCAAGUACAGUACAAAGAACUUCUUCCCCUGAAUCAUUUGAAACUAAGUUGACAAAAAUGAUGCCACAUUACCCCCAAUAUUGUCUGUUUCCUACAAUAAGAACAUUCUCAUAUAUAUCCAGAACACAACCAUCAAAAUCAGGAGAUCAAUUUAUUACCAUCUAAUCCUCAGACUCCAUUGAAAUUUUGCCAGUUGUUCCAAUAACAUCAUUUAUAGUAAAGAAUCUAGUUAGAAUUGCGCAUUGAAUUUAGUUAUCUUUAGUCUCUCUCAAUCUGGAACAGUUCUUAGUUUUUCCUUCCAUGAUCUUUUUCUAAGUGUAUAAUUAGUUGAUUUUUAGUAAAUUUAUAGAGUUGUGCAACCAACAGCGCAAUCUAAUAUUAGAACAUUUCCAGCACUCUCCCCAAAAACCUAUCCAUGUGCAGUUACUACCCGUUCCCUCCCACAGCUGACUGCUAAUCUACCUUCUGUCUCUGUGGAUUUGUCUUUCCUGAACGUUUCAUGCGAAUGGAAUCAGACAGUAUGAGGACUUCUGCGUCUGGCUUCUUUCACUCAGCGUCAUGUUUUCGAGAUUCAGUCAUGUUGUAGCGUGCAUCGGUACCUAGUUACUUUUAUUGCCAGGUACUGUUUUGUGGUAUGGGUAUGCCAUAUUUUGUUCAUCCAGUCAACAUUUGGUGGACACUUGGGUGGUUUCCACAUUUUGGCUAUUAUGAAUAGUGCGCCCUUGUAUCAUCUGGACACUUUUGAAGAUUGCAGGUUAGAUAUUUUGUACAGUGCCUCUUAACUGAAUGUCUGCCAGACUUCUGUGAAUUACACUUUCCCCUUUGGUUAUUAACAAGUAUUUUGUGGGGAGAUGCUUGGAAACCAUGUAAAAUAUCCCAUUCCUCACUAAACUUUCAAUUUAUUAAAUUGUUUAUGUUACCAUGGACUUAAGUUUACAUUCUAGUGGGUUAUAUUUUGGUUACUAUUUCUGAAUACCAAACCACCCCAAAACUUUGUAGAAUGAAACAUUUUAUUAAAAAAACUCAGUAAUUCUUUGGGUCAGGAGUUCAGGUGGGAGCAGGGAAGCUGGCUUGUUUAUAUUCCACAAUGUCUGGGGCCUCAUCUGGAAAGACUCAAAGGCUCAGGGUGACUGGACAGCUGCAGGCUCUAGAGCAUCUUCACUCUUGUGUCUGCUAGUUGAUGUGGAGCCUCUCCAUGUGGGCUAGUUGAACUUCUUACAAUAAGGAGUCUAGAUUCCAAGAGUAAUGGUACCCAGAGGGCAGGCAAAAGCAUGUGGCAUUUUUAUGGUCUACCUUUGGAAUUCACAUGGCAUUACUUCUGCCACACUUUAUUGGUUGAGGUUGCCAGAAAGUUCUGCCCAGGUUCUAAGGGUGGGAGCAUAGAUGCCCCUACUUUUUGGGAGGAGUGUCAAGGACAUAUUUUAAGGAAAGCAUGUGGGAUGGGAGAUCCUGUUACGCUAUCUUUGGAAAAUUCAGCGCCACAGAUUAAUCUGUUAUUGUCAUUACUUAUUUGGUACCCACAUUGUCCCGCAUUUGGCUUGUGGGAACUCCUUCAAGCGCUUGACUUCUUUUGAGUCCUUUUGACAUGUCUCACCAUUCUUUGAGCAACUUCGUUAUUUUCUGGCAUAAGACAUUCUAGGCUCAUCUUGUCUUUUAUGUGCUCCAGCCCUAGAAUCAGCCGUUUUUUCCAAGGAGCCCUGUUUCCUUUUAAUGGAAAGUGGUAUUUAGAAAGUAAGAUUUGAGGGACUUCCCAGGUGGCACAGUGGUUAAGAAUCUGCCUGCCAAUGCAGGGGACACGGGUUCGAGCCCUGGUCUGGGAAGAUCCCACAUGCUGUGGAGCAACUAAGCCCAUGAGCCACAACAACUGAGCCCGUGUGCCACAACUACUGAGCCCAUGCCCUGCAACAAGCGAAGUCGCCGCAAUGAGAAGCCCCCAUACUGCAAUGAAGACUAGCCUCUUCUGUCCGCAACUAGAGAAAGCCUGGGCGCAGCAACAAAGACCCCACGCAGCCAAAAAUAAGUAAAUAAAUAAAUAAAAUUUAAAAAGAAAAGAAAAGUAAGAUUUGGGCCCAAGGAGUGCUCACUGCUACUGGGGUGUGUAACUGCUUCCAGGCUCUUGCAGUGGACAGAGCUAUACAAUAUACACAGACACAUUAACAAAUGUAUUUAUUUUUAAUCUAUGUAUGUGUUAAAAAUAAUGAGGUCACAGCUAUACCUCUUAUCAUGGUCAAGUACCACAGGAUUUAUUUUAAUUUUAUGCUUUUUCAGGUAUUUUAAAAACAGCUUUAUGGAGAUGUAAUUUACAUACCAUACACUUCACCUGUUUUUAAAAAAAUUAUUUACUUAUUUAUUUAUUUGGCUCUGCCGGGUCUUAGUCGCGGCACGUGGGAUCUUCACUGAGGCACACGGGAUCUUUAGUUGCGGCAUGCAGGAUCUAGUUCCCUGACCAGGGGUCGAACCCAGGCUCCCGGCAUUGGGAGCGUGGAGUCUUAACCACUGGACCACCAGGGGAGUCCCCAGUUCACCUAUUUAAAGUGUACUUACUAAGUGGCUUUUAGUAGGUUCACAGAGUUGUGCAUACAUCACCACAGUCGAUUUUAGAAUAUUGUCAUUAUUCCAAAAGGAAACCCUGUUGCCCUUAGCCAUCACCUUCCAGUCCACCUCAGCCUUAAGCAACCAGUAUUCUCCUUUCUGUCUCUAUAGAUUUGUCUGUUCUGGAUACUUCAUAUACAUUGAAUCAUAUAAUAUGUGGUCCUUGGUGUCUGGCUCCUUUCACAUAGCAUAAUGUUCCCUCACACAGGAUCUUUGUUGAGGCAUGUGGGAGCUUUCGUUGAGGCACCAGGGCUUCUCUUUAGUUGUGGCUCAUGGGCUCAGUAGUUGUGGCCCACGGGCUUAGUUGCUCCACGGCUUAUGGGAUCUUCCCAGACCAGGGAUUGAACCCAUGUCCCCUGCAUUGGCAGGCAGAUUGUUAACCACUGCGCCACCAGGGAAGUCCCCUUAGCCUAUUUUUAAGUUGGGUUUUUUAUUUGCCUUUUAAUUAUUGUUAUGUAUUCUGGAUAUAAGUUUCUUAUCAGAAAUAAGAUUUACAAAUAUUUUCUCCUAUUUUGUGGAUUCUCUUUGCUUUUUUGAUGGUUUCCUUCAAAGCAGGUAGGUCUUUAAUUUUGAUGAAGUCCAACUUAUCUAUUUUUUCUCUUGUUGCUAGUGCUUUUUGGUGUCAUAUCUAAGAAUCCAUUGCCAAAUCCAAGGUCAUGAAGAUUUAUGCCUAUGUUUUCUUCCGAGAGUUUUAAAAUUUCACCAUGUGCAUGUAUGAUCCAUUUUGAGUUAAUUUUUGUAUAUGGUAUAAGGGAAGAGUCCAACUUCAUUCUUUUGUAUGUGGAAAUCUGAUUGUCCCAGAGUAAAAAUUACUCUGCUUUACCAGCCCUGUUUUAAAAAAUUUUAUGUGUGUAUGUGUAUAUGUACUUAUUACAGUUUUGUUUUCUUCCCUUUUAAGGAAAAUUUCAAAAAUGUUUCAAAUUCCCGUGGAGAAUCUUGACAACAUCAGGAAGGUACGGAAAAAGGUGAAAAGCAUUCUUAUGGAUAUUGGGCUUGACAGCUGCAAGGAGUUGCUGAAGGACCUUAAAGGCUUUGAUCCAGGAGAGAAGUACUUUUAUAACACAUCAUGGGGAGAUAUUUCUCUCUGGGAACCUUCUGGAAAGAAAGUGAGAUAUCGAACAAAACCAUACUGUUGUAGCCUCUGUAAAUACUCCACAAAAGUGCUUACUUCAUUCAAAAAUCAUUUACAUCGUUACCAUGAAGAUGAAAUUGACCAAGAGCUGGUGAUCCCUUGUCCAAACUGUGUGUUUUCCUCUCAACCCAGAGUUGUGGGAAGGCACUUCAGAAUGUUUCAUGCACCUGCUCGGAAAGUCCAGAACUACACUGUGAAUAUUUUAGGUGAAACUAAAUCAUCUAGGAGUGAUGUGAUAAGUUUUACAUGUUUAAAAUGUAACUUUUCAAACACUCUGUACUACAGCAUGAAGAAGCAUGUGCUGGUAGCCCAUUUUCACUACUUAAUUAAUUCCUACUUUGGCCUGAGAACUGAGGAGAUGGGUGAGCAACCAAGAGCUGACGACCCCCGUUCUACAGAGAAGAUGCCCCCAUCCGACAGGUAUUACUGUAAAAAGUGCAGCACCAACGCCAGCAGCCAGGAUGCUUUAAUGUACCACAUCUUGACGUCGGAUAUACACAGGGAUUUGGAGAAUAAGCUUAGGUCUGUGAUCUCAGAACAUAUUAAGAAGACUGGACUUUUGAAGCAAAUGCAUAUUGCUCCAAAACCAGCUGCACGUGUGGCUGUACCACCCAACAGCAGUGCUCCGGGCAUCCCAGCCACAUCUCCUUGCUUCCACCUGGCCUUGCCACAGAACAGUCAGAGCCAAACUGUGGUACAGCCAGUUCAGGGUGCGCCCCCCCCGGUGACUGGGGCCUCGGGCGCUUCUGGAAGCCUCACCCACUCCCCGCCUGCCGUUGCCCAGUCUCAUGUGACUCUGGUCUCCAGUCCUCUGCCAGUGGGCCAGAGCAACCUCACUCUGCCGCCCUCAACACCUCAGCCUGUCUUUCUCUCUCAUGGAGUUCCACUUAAUCAGGCAGCAAACCCUCCUGCGUUGCCCUUGAGUCAGCCAGUGGGACCUGUAAAUAAGUCGGUCGGAACCGGCGUCCUCCCCAUAAAGCAGACCAUCCGCCCGGGGGUUUUGCCCCUCAGCCAGCCUGUUGGGCCCAUAAGCAGACCAGUCGGGCCUGGAGUUCUCUCGGUAAAUAGACCUGUUGCGUCCGGUGUCCUUCCUGUCAAUCCCUCUGUCACCCCUGGAGUUCUUCAGGCGGUCUCGCCAGGGGUGAUUUCUGUGAGUCGGACAGUCCCGUCAGGGGUCCUUCCUGCGGGACAGAUGACCCCUGCUGGGGUUAUCCCUUCAGGACAGACAGCAACUUCUGGGGUUCUCCCUGCUGGCCAGGUGGUUCAGUCAGGGGUUCUCCCCAUUGGCCAGACAGCGCCAUCGGGGGUGCUCCCCACUGGGCUGACAGUCCCGCCGCGGGUCCUCCCUCCUGGCCAGACGGUCCCACUGAGGGUUCUCCCUGCAGGCCAGGUAGUCCCACCUGGGCUCCUUCCUCCCAACCAGACGGUCUCGUCAGGUGUUCUCCCUGUGAACCAGGGUAUUAACUCUGGUGUUCUUCAGCUCAGUCAGCCUGUCGUGUCAGGGGUCCUUCCUGUGGGCCAGCCAGUGAGGCCGGGGGUCCUGCAGCUUAAUCAGUCUGUGAGUACCAACAUCCUGCCUGCUCAUCAGCCCAUCAGACCCGGGGCUUCGCCAAACACCGCUUUCCUAACAUCAGGCUCUAUUCUCAGACAGCUGAUACCCACAGGGAAACAAGUGAAUGGGAUUCCCACAUACACACUUGCCCCAGUAUCUGUCACUUUGCCUGUGCCCCCUGGAAGUGUCGCCACUGUUGCCCCCCCCCAGAUGCCCAUCCAGCUCCUGCAGUCGGGCACGGCUGCACAGAUGGCCAGCUCCAUGGCCAGCCUGCCCUCCCCACCAGUGGUGGUAAAUGCCACUCAGAAUAUGUUCGUUCAGCCUUCUUCGUCUGUGGCAGAGGCAAAUCAGGUGCUCAAACAGGCAAAGCAGUGGAAAACCUGUCCAGUUUGCAACGAGCUCUUCCCUUCCAAUGUCUACCAGGUCCACAUGGAAGUGGCACAUAAGCACAGCGAAUCCAAAUCCGCUGAAACACUGGAGCCGGAAAAGCUGGCGGCAUGUGCACCGUUUCUAAAGUGGAUGAGAGAGAAAACAGUUCGGUGUUUGUCCUGUAAGUGCUUAGUCUCAGAGGAGGAGCUUAUCCGCCACUUGCUGGUGCACGGCCUGGGGUGCUUGUUCUGCCCGUGCACUUUCCACGAUAUUAAAGGCCUCUCAGAGCAUAGUAGGGCUAUGCACCUAGGGAAGAGGAGACUGCCCGUGGACUAUAGCGACAAAGGAUUUCAGCUGGAUGUCGAUGCCAAUGGCAGCCUGCUGUUUCCCCACCUCGACUUCAUCACCAUCUUGCCCAGGGAGGAGCUGGGUGAGCGGGAGGUCUACUUGGCCGUGCUGGCUGGGAUACACUCCAAGUCACUGGUGCCCGUGUACAUCAAAGUGAGGCCGCAGACCGAGGGUGCGCCCGGGAGGCCUGGCAACCAGGCGCUGACCUGCCCUUUUUGCUUCGGCACCUUCGUGACGGCUGAGGCGUACGAGCUGCAUCUGAAGGAGCGGCACCACAUCAUGCCAACGGUGCACACGAUUUUGAAAUCCCCGGCUUUCAAGUGCAUCCACUGCUGUGGGGUUUACACGGGCAACAUGACUCUGGCAGCCAUUGCCAUACACCUGCUGCGCUGUCGGAGUGCUCCAAAGGACAGCAGCUCAGGCCUGCAGGUCCAGCCUAAUUUUAUUGAGAACAGUGAACUGCUUUUAGUCAAUGGUGAGGUGAUACACGACUCCAGUUUUUCUGUAAAGAGAAAGAUGCCUGACGGCCAGUUUGGGGCUGAGGAGCAGAGGGAGGGCGAGGAGCGGCCUGUCCCCACGAGCGCUGACAGAGAGCCAUCCCCGGAGAAGGCGACGAGCGCCGUGCCUUCUAAAAGACAGAGGAGCGAAAGCAGGACGGAGGCGCCCCUUGUUCACGACGACGCUCUCCAGGUUUUAGCGUUAAAUCCUAAAAGAUAUGAAGACCGUUCUUACGAAGAAAAAAAGCAGUUUCUUAGAGAUUAUUUCCACAAGAGACCAUAUCCCAGUAAAAAGGAAAUAGAACUGUUAUCCUCACUCUUAUGGGUGUGGAAAAUUGACGUGGCUUCAUUUUUUGGAAAAAGAAGGUAUAUUUGCAUGAAAGCAAUAAAAAAUCACAAGCCUUCUGUACUUUUAGGCUUUGAUAUGUCUGAACUUAAAAAUGUUAAACACAGAUUGAACUUUGACUAUGAACCACAAAACUUGUAAAAAAAAAUUAGGAAAUCUAAAGUACUAGAUACUUAGUAGUCUUUUUCAAUUGAGAUUUUUAAAAAUGUUAUUUUCUUCACUGUAUGUUGAACUAAUCAAUUUCAGUGGUCUUUAUGCUGCUCUUUAGAUUUAUUUCAGGUGCUCAGAAAGACUUUUAUAUAAAGAACUGAAUAGUUCUUUCAAAUUUAUUGUUUCCUGCAGCUUGAUUUUGUAACAGUUGUUUUUCAUUUUUUCCUCUGUCAUGUAAAUUAAAUCUUUUGAUAUUUCAUGCAUGCCUUGUUUUCCCAGUAGUGUCAGUAUCGUAUGAUAAAAACUGAAAUCUAUAUAUGUUUGUUUUUCAUUUAAGGAAAUUUCAGCUUGUUUCAGAAUACUUGAUUAACUGCGAAUUAAAACUGCUCUCCCUCAGCUUCACAAGUAGCAGCAGAUGAUACAGUAAAUGUUUAGAGAAACGCACACGUAGCCCUUUAGGGUGUCGAGAUAUACAGGGCAUCCUGAUCCUAGAUGGUUACAGCACCAACAGUAACAGUGCCCUCUGUGUGCCAGAUUUUAUAUGUGCUUUCAAAUAACUAACUGGAGUGGCUACGUACAUCAAUAAGACAACUUACACAAAAGAAGGAGGGCAGCUGAUGCAGGAAUUUCUGAAGCUCACUGGGGAAGCCUAAGUUUAGCCGGGCCAGUGGCUCCUCCCCACUCCAGUCACAUGACUCCAGGCAUGUUAGCAGAGGCCUUUUCACUGCGUUCAGCUCUAAGCUACUUCAGUGGUGAUGCCAGAGGGAGCAGACUUGCCUCAGGUGUGACCUGAGCCCGAAUCCAGCACCUGUGCCCUGUCGACUAAGAAACGUGCCUUCCUGAGCUGCUUCCUUAACAAAGAUUCUCCAGCAGCGUUUUUCAACCUGGGAAGGGCCGAACACCCUACAAGGGUUAAGGAGCGUGAGAAAGAAACACUUUCAAAGCUGGACAGCCCUAAAGCCCAAGCGAAUCGCAAGCUGCUAACAGCAGUGCACGUGACGGCGCUAUCUCCACCCCCGACCCUGACGUCAGCAGACCUUCCCGUGGGCUUCAGCGAGGACGGAUUCUGCUCUGGACAGCCCAGAACUUACUUGAAGAAAGCGUUCUGCUGUUUGAAGAGGUUCAGAGAAAAUUAAAGUCUCCGGCUCCACCAAAACCCUAGGACACUAGCUCCACCCCUUCAGCAGAGGCACAGCCCAGGGGCGAGGACGAACACCUCCAGGGCGGCUGGAGCACCUUCUUCUGACACUGGCUGCCCUUCCAAGGUGGGUGAUGGUAUCUCACUCAUCGCUGUGCCAGCUGGGCUUGUGCAAGGACAGUGUAAAAAGCUUCGUUCUUUAAAACCUGUAGAGUCUGAGUGGCACAUGAGUCCUGUCUUUGCUGCAAGGGUCUGGGGUUCAUUCCGUGCUUUUCCUUUGGGUACUGAAUUCUGCAUUCAGUUAGGAAGCAUCACAUUCAAGUUAUUCCUUGUCCCCAGACCUCACUGCCCUCACCUUUCUGCCUGGAACGCUCCAAACCACGCUUAAAGCAGCUACUCCUUUUGUUCCUCAAACUAAGACCGGCGUGAUCCUUAGAUGCAUUGUCGAGAAAUUAAUGUAAUCUGGGAACGUGUCAUGUGACCUUUAAGGCCCGUUCAUACACGGACCCCAAAAUGGUUCAUUGCUCCACAUAUUCUUGGUUAUCAGACCACAGGUCAACAGGGCAGUGUGUGUGUGCAAAAGGAUGUUUGUACACAGGCACCUGAAGAGAGAGGGAAGGAGCCUGGAUGAACAAAUCAGCUAAGAAUCCAAAGCGUUAUUUCUAGACUGCUUAUGACCAGAAAUUUGUACUCGUUUCCUUUUUUCCCCCAAUUUAAAAAAUUGUUAGAAUACAUGUAAUAUAAAAUUUACCAUCUUAACCAUUCUUAAGUGUACAGUUUGGUGGCAUUUAAAUACAUUCACAUUGUUGUGGAACCGUCACCACCAUCCAUCCAGGGAACAUUUUUAUCUUCCCAAAUUGAAACGCUGUCUCUAUUCAACACUAACUCCCAUAUUUCCCCUCCCCCAGCCCCUGGAACCCAGCGUUCUACUUUCUGUCUCUAUGUAUGAUUUUGCCAACUCUAGUGAUCUCCUUUAAAUGGAAUCAUUCAGGAUUUGUCCUUUUGUGACUGGCUCAUUUCACUCAGCAUAAUUCCUCCAGUUUCAUCCAUGUUGUAGUGUGUGUCAGAGUGUCCUUCCUCUUAAAGGCUGAAUAAUAUUUGGUCAUAUGUAUUUCCAUUUUUUGUUUAUCUGUUCAUCCUUUGAUGGACACUGGGGUUACUUCCACGGUUUACCUACUGUGAACAAAGCUGCUGUGAACAUGGGUGCCAAGAUGCCAUGCUCAUUUGCUUUCAGUUAACGCUCAGCAUGUCUGGGCUCCCGUGAGGCUCAGCUGUGACCUCUACGUGUCCGGGGAGAUGGGCUGCGAAGCCCUUGCUGCACCUGGUGUGGGACGAGAUGUGACUCCCUUCUUUGUGUUUUUCUGUAUUUUACAAGUUUUCUAAAAUUAAAGUGUGUUUAUUUAGUUCUUUAAAAAUACAAGGAGUGUAUCAUCGAACAGUGCUACCAGUUGGGAAAGGUGAUUAAAUCCAAUCGACCCACACAUAAGUGAGAUCACCGUAUUUGUCUUUCUCUGACUUACUUCACUUAGCGCGAUGCCUUCAAGGUCCAUCCAUGUUGUCGCAAAUGGCAAGAGUUUAUUCUUUUUUAUGGCUGAGUAGUAUUCCAUUGUGUGUAUGUAUGUGUGUGUAUUUAUGUAAAUAUGUAUUAAUGAAAAUUAUAUGUAUAUAAUUACACUAGGCCUGUCAAUAUUUUCUUUAUAUACUUAGGAGCUCCUAUGUUGGCUGCAUAAAUAUUUACAAAUGUUAUAUCCUGUUGUGGAUUGAGCCCUUUAUCACUGUGUAAUGCCCUUUUUGUCUCUUAUUGCAGACUUUGCUUUAAAGUCUCUUUUGUCCGAUAUAAGGAUAGCAGCCACAGCUUUCUUUUGGUUUCCAUUUGCAUGGAACAUCUUUUUCCAUCCCUUCACUUUCAGUCUGUGUGUAAUGGAGACAGCAUAUAGAUGGGUCUGUUUUUUUAAUCCAUCAGCCACUCUGUCUUUUGGUUGGAAAAUUUAAUCCAUUUAAAUUUAAAGUUAUUAUUGGUAGGUAUGUACUUAUUCCCAUUUUGUUAACUGGUUUCUGGCUGUUCUGUAGUUCCUCUGUUUCUUCAUCUCUUGCUCUCUCCCUUGUGGUUUGAUUACUUUCUUUAGUGCUGUUCUUAGAGUCCUUUCUCAUUAUCUUUUGUGUGUCUGCUAUAGGUUUUUGUUUUGUGGUCACCCUGAGGCUCACAUCUAACAAUCUGUAUUUACGACAGUCUACUUUAAGUUGAUAACAACCUAACUUCGAACACAUUCUAAAGCUCUACAUUUUAAUUGCCCCCCAACAUUUUAUGUUGUUGGGGGUCACAUUUUACACCUUUCAUCUUGUAUAUCCCUUAAUAUUAUUGUAGUUAUCGUUACUUUUACUACUUUUGUCUUUUAACAUUCAUAUUAGCUUUGUAAGUGAUUAAUGCAAUACCUUUACCUUUAUCAGUGAGAAUUACACUUUCAUAUGUUUUCUUCUUAAUAAUUAGAGCUUAAAGUCAUCCUUUUAACAUUUCUUGUAAGGCCGGUUUAGUGCUGAUGAACUGCAUUAGCUUUUGCUUGUCUGGAAAACUCUAUCUCUCUUUCAAUUCUGAUUGAUAACUUUGCCAGGUAGAGUAUUCUUGGUUAGAAGUUUUUUUCUUUCAGCACUUUGAAUAUAUUGUGCUACUCCUUACUGGACUGCAAAGUUUCUGCUGAAAAUACUGCUGAUAGUGUUAUGGGGGUCUCUUGUAUGUAAUAAGUUGUUUUUCUCUUGCUGCUUUUUUUGGAAGUGUAGUAGAUUUACAAUAUUACAUUAGUUUCAGGUGUACAGCAUAGUGAAUACAUAUUUUUAUAGAUUAUACUCCAUUAAAAAUUAUUACAAAAUCAUGAUUAUAAUUCCCUGUACAAUAUAUCCUUGUUGCUUAUCUAUUUUACACAUAGUAUUCAAUAGUUUCUAUAACUUAAUCCCAUCCCCCUAACAUGCUCCUCCCCACUUCCCUCUCCCCAGUGGUAACCACUAGUUUGUUUUCUAUAUCUGUGAACCUGUUUCUGUUUUGAUAUAUACAUUCAUUAGUUUUAUUGUUUAGAUUCCACAAAUAAAUGACAUCAUACAGUA